AGUUCCGUGCCGGCUGACUGUUCAACUUUUAAAUCGUCAGACACGAGGAGUACGAUUCGAGGAGUAAAGCUAGCGAUGACACGAAGCGUUUUACAAGCCUUCUGUCGGUCGCAUUUAUGGGAAAACAGAUUAUAUUUGUUGCAAGAUCGUAAUCUCCACGUGUACAUGUUUUAUUGUUUAUCAUAGCGAAGCUUAAAGGCUGCUACGAUCUUUGUUUGCAUAGACGUGCGUUUACCAGAAUUAGAUGUUUACUUUUUAACGCUAACUUUACCAAGCCGGAUCGAGUGACCGCUUCUAAAAUGUAGUUUAAAACUCUACACAUUCGUCGUCACGAAGGAUAUAUCUUAACAGACACGAAGAUGUUGCCCCAUUGGGGGUAGCCACCCACAUGAUAAUCAAACAGAUAAAAAAUUCUACCAAAUGUCCAAAUUGGACAAAUUGUGAAUGUGAAAUUUUAAAUAAAUAAAAAAAAAACACAUUCGUCGUUAUUUCUUUUAUCCGUCUUAACUUUAUGCUAAUUCUCGUAUCAUCCGAUUAAUCAAUUGCCGAAUUUUUAUCCAUAUAGAUUACACGAAGGACGAACGAAAGAGAUAACGACGAACGUACAAUUUUAGACUAAAUUUUGAAACCGGUCGUUUGACCGGUUCUGGUAAGGUCAGUGUUGUGUUGCCGAGUGACUGUACAAUGAUCGGCCGAUCGUUCGACAUUGUACGAAACGUAACUGAUACACGUACCGAUGCUCGACUGACAUCGAUCGUGAGAGACAAAAACGCAUCGUCGAGGCCAACGACGUCGAAUAAAAAUUCAUUUCGUGUAAUUUCAGCGACGAAAGCAACCGUUUUCCAUUUGGUUUGGAAAACUUCGAUCGAGUAGCUAUGGAGAUAAACGUAUCUGAUUAAUUUUCGCGAUUUAUCUCUUAUCAAAUGUAUACGCGUGCCUAAGUGUACGAGAAAGACGAAAGAAAUGGAUUUCUGCUUGUACAGAAAGGCUUAAGAAUAAUUCGUUCGUAACCUCGAUCUCUCGUAAGAUGUUUCGCCAUCUCCGGAAUUAAACGGAACACCCUGUAGAUUAAAAUUGAAAUUUCACUACGUAAUAGAAUUACUCGUCUUUCGCGUCGAGCUUUUCGAAUCGAGUCUCUUUGUUCGAUCUUUUCCAAUAUUCUCGUUGAUUCGCGAAAUUACCUGAAAAGAGAUUAUUCCAAUUAGCAGGCUACUACAGCUAGUGAGAUCAUCUUGUUAUCAUCACUUUUUAUGGUAGACAGGCGUAAUACGUGAUUCAAGCUGUGGCAAUCGGAGCAUGCAUACGUUGAAAGCACUUGAAGGUUUAAAUAGAUUGAACCUAUUCGUACAGUGUUGAAGUAGUGCGCUGCAGAGACGUAAUAUUCGCCGCUGAAAUAUCCGUUUUGUCAUCGAACAUUUGAUACGAUUGCACGAUGUAAUAUGAUCGAAAAAAGUGAAAAAAGCAAACGAGGUGUAUCGUUCGAGUUUCUGCACGUUUCUUCGACAAUCUUUAAAUAGUUCGAAAUAGAACACAUUUAUGUCGCUUCGAUCGAAAGGGAAUCUUUCUACUCUUUGAACUGUAUCUAUUCCCAAUAGCACGUUGAAAAAAAACAGGAUAAAAAAGAAAAAGAUAAGGAAGAAAGAGAAGAAGAAAAAGAAGAAAGGACUGGGUUGAGAAAAAAGCGAUAACUCCGGCGAGUGCACGCAACCUGCGGGAAGUCCUUGGGAUCGUUACGGAGAAGCAGAAAAAAACGAACUGACCCGGAAGCUGCUGGCGCGUCAAAGCAGACGGAAGCGGUUGAGUAUAAUUUGCAAGAAAGCAGCAAGUCGAAUUGCACCGUAAAAGUGACCCGUUGCGGUACGAGUGCACCGAAUAUCGACUUUCGACCGAGGCAGAAGUAACACACGCGAUAUACUCGACGAGAUUACGCUUUAACCCGGUCUGGUGUACUUCGCCAUUGAGCAAAAUUAAAAAUUGAAAAAUCAAUUUUUAACGUUUGGGAGAAUUAAUACGGUGAAGUAUAUCGAAGUAUAUUACGAUAUAGAUAGUAACGAUAUUUUUAAUAUUUCUAACAUUUUUUGGUAUUUCUUAAUAACGAAACGCGAUAUUUGUCGUAGGAUAUUUCCUAUCUCCCUUUUUUCCAUAUACAUUCCCCUUGUGUAAAUAUUCUACUAACAGGUUUUAAUAUAAUCUCCUACGACCGGAAUUUGCUUUGCUUAUCAGAGAAAACCACCAAUAUGAUUACAGUUUCUCAGAUUACAGUGCUUCGGGUCGAAAACUGGGCACGGACGAACUGAUCGGUAUAAUUGUAUAGUAAUAAAAUACGUUUUGGAUGGCGCAGUAAGAAAUGAAUCUGAAGAAAUGAUUUAAAAACACGACCGACAAAAAUACAGACGCGAAAAUCUCGAAAGAAAUAUUUUUUAGAUAUCUUGUCAUCUUUUUCGUAAAUUCUAACAAGCAGCCUCGUUAAUUCUAUUCUUUGCUUAGAAACGUACAAGCGUUUGCUGAUUUAUACAGAAUUAUACAGAAUUUAAUUAUAAAAUUACGGAUGAAAAAAAAAGCUGUAGCGAGAUUCUAUUCUUGAAUCAAUAAAAUUAAGCUACGAAUAAGAUGGAAUUAAGCAAUGGAAUUGAUUCUUAAAAAUGAAAUCCUUUUGUGUUACUUCGGAAGCAUUUUUAUUCUCAAAUUAUGUCUUAAGUAAACUGCGAGUUAGAUAAAAAAAGGAGAAGGUUUUUCUCAACCGAUAAAAGGAUUAUCGCGAUUAAUUGAAACGACGAUAUCUAAAAUCGGAUAAUUCGAAUAAUAAAUAAUUUGAAUUGAUAAUCUAUCGUAUCCCUCGGUAGGUGAUUUUUUAGUCGUUAAUUUAUUCUUAUUAUAUAUUUUUUAUUCUUUACUUUAAUAACACUUGUGUCUCAUUGUUACAAAUCGAUCAAAAAUUUCAAACACUGAUAAGCUACUAUGAACUACUCGACGAGAUACUAACGACGUAAAUAUUAAUUUAUUUAAUUGCUACGAUAUGCGAAACUUCGUAAUACCGUAUCUUAAAGAAAUUUAUGAAUUUCAAAAUAUUUACUAGAACACAUAUUCGAUUUUGUUUAUUCAAUUUCAAUUAGAAAUAUAACAAAUGAAAAAAUGAAUCUGCUGUCAGCGUACAAAGUAGGUAUAUUAACUGAAAAUAGUACGCGUAACUUUAUUCCAUACUGUUUCACCAUAACUUCUUAUUAUACAGAGCUACUUUUAAAUAACAUUUUUACACGAGAUAAAGAAAACGAAUAGAUUGAAUAAAUGCACUCGUGACUCUCAGAUUACGCUAAACAGUAUAGUAUUCGUUGCUGAUUUAUUGACUGUAAUAAAUGAAUGUCAGGGGGGAGCAUUAUUUAUUGUCACGAUAACAAUGUGCUAUUGUACCACAUAUUGCGAUAAUUUGAUCGUCCGUAAUUUUAUUUAUAGAUACGUAUUUCUAUUAACUUCCAUUUUAUGCUUGUGCAUAAAUUAAACUAGGUACGAAUUAAAUUAAAAGUUUCAUUUCAAGAAUAUUCGUAGAACGAACAACGUACAUAGAAAAAAUAAUAAUGUUCAGCUGCAUCUAUUACUCUACGAUUUCAUUUCGUUCUUUCCGCUAACUAAACCUCCAAACAGACUAUGCUCGUUAAAGAUAUAAUUGUUAAAAAAAUAUAUUUGUAAUAUAUACAGGGUGGUUGGUAACUGGUGGUACAAGCGGAAAGGGGGUGAUUCUACGCGAAAAAAGAAGUCGAAAAUAUAGAAUAAAAAUUUUUCGUUCGAAGCUUUGUUUUCGAGAAAAUCGACUUUGAAUUUUCGGUCGGUACGCGUGCGGUGCGUUAUAACGGAUCUCGCUGUAGAUCGUUGUCUCGAUGGAAAAAUUAAAAAAAAAAUCCCCCCUAAUCCGCAUGUACCACCAGUUACCAACCACCCUGUAUAUUUACAAAAGAAAGAAAAAAAUAACGUCAACGUAUAUUUAUUAAAAAAAAAAAAAAUUGCCGUAGGAGAAAGGGGUGACAGAAAUAUCGCGUGUAACAUCUACUUUACAUUCUGCAAGUUUUGCAACCAAAUUCCUAUUUCUCCGCCAAAUUCUGAAAUAAACUACUACUACUACUAUUACUCUUACUAUUACUGCUACUAUCACCAGAAAUUUCACUAUGAAGCAACGAACAAACAAUUCUACGAAUAGCUUCUGAUUAUUUUAUAACUGUCGUAUUCGGGUCAUCGAAAGUUUUACGAUAUCGAAUAUCGUAGCGUGCGAGAAAGUGGUUGGAGUAAGUGAUCCCCAAAUUACUGGAAGCCAUGCCAUCAUUCCUGUCUCUAUUAUUAUACAUCAUGAAGAAUACUUAUUCUAUUUGCAUUAUCAUUGUUGCAGAGUUCCGUGAAUCAAUCGCGUCGAUGAAUCGAACGACGUAAAAUUAAUAUUGCCCUGUUGUUUACGUGAAAAGAUAAACACGGUGUCCUUGAAACAGUUGAAAAGUCGUGGAUACCAUUACGCUGUAUGUAAAUGCUGUAUACAUGUAAUUAUAAUUUUAAUAUAAACGACUAUACGUCUGCGAUCGUUUCUUCUAUCGUUCUUUAAUUCGGAUAAAUAAUUUAAAAAGGGAAUUUAUAAUCGAGCUUGGCAUCGCGUUAUACAUAUAAACGUAUAAUUACGUUACUUUGCAUAAUGCAUCGUUAUAAUUUCCGUACAAGUGUUUAUCGACGGAGAGAAUUCCGCGCUAUCGACUUUAAAAUCAACGCUAGCCUCAGCCAGUGUUCCUUUGUGAAAAGAAACUUCGGUUUAGUAAUUCCAUGCAUAAAUUCCACUUCCGACCGCACGGCACACUUUCCGCGCCAAGUUUCCUAUCUACGUGUGUUACAAAAUACGCCCACGUUUCGAUAAUAUGUAAAGGAGAGGUGUCGCAAUGAUAACGUUCGCCUUAUCGCUCCUUACCGAUUGUAAUUAAACGCCAUGUGAACUAAUGGAAACGCGAUACGUAUGCACAGAUCGAGCCAGUUCACUUUCAUAAACAAAUUCUGUCGUAGCCCAAUAGAAAAUACAUUUUUCGCUCGUAACAUGUAACUUCCUUUGUUUGUAAACAAGCGUACACUGUAUCUAACCUGUUAAACGUAUUAAAAAUUUGUGGAAAGUUAUAGAGCGAUAGAAAAUACUUUAUAAAUCAAUCUGUUAUAAAUCCGUCCAACACUAACCUACCUUACCAGACCCGGUCAAACGACCGGUUUAAUUUAAAAUUGUACGUUUAUUGUUAUCUCAUUUGCUCGUCCAAAUUGAUGUACAUCCUUAUAUCAUCCGAUUGAUUAAUUUUUCAAUUUUUGUUAAUAUACAGUUAAAUAAAGUUAAAUAUUAUUCUCGAUA
Bombus huntii is the source of this 5359-nucleotide long non-coding RNA. RefSeq lists it as uncharacterized. The transcript has 2 exons. NCBI's taxonomy places the organism in Eukaryota, Metazoa, Arthropoda, Insecta, Hymenoptera, Apidae. The record is from RefSeq and is a predicted model, not a curated record.